This 447-nucleotide ribosomal RNA is filed under the name uncultured organism. RNAcentral's name for it is "partial 16S ribosomal RNA". It matches the Rfam family "Bacterial small subunit ribosomal RNA", at positions 333 to 797 of the family's 1533-position model. The record is from RNAcentral.
ACACUCCUGCGGGAGGCAGCAGUGGGGAAUAUUGGACAAUGGGCGCAAGCCUGAUCCAGCCAUGCCGCGUGAGUGAUGAAGGACCUAGGGUUGUAAAGCUCUUUCACCGGUGAAGAUAAUGACGGUAACCGGAGAAGAAGCCCCGGCUAACUUCGUGCCAGCAGCCGCGGUAAUACGAAGGGGGCUAGCGUUGUUCGGAUUUACUGGGCGUAAAGCGCACGUAGGCGGACUAUUAAGUCAGGGGUGAAAUCCCGGGGCUCAACCCCGGAACUGCCUUUGAUACUGGUAGUCUUGAGUUCGAGAGAGGUGAGUGGAAUUCCGAGUGUAGAGGUGAAAUUCGUAGAUAUUCGGAGGAACACCAGUGGCGAAGGCGGCUCACUGGCUCGAUACUGACGCUGAGGUGCGAAAGCGUGGGGAGCAAACAGGAUUAGAAACCCUAGUAGUCCC